Molecule: ribosomal RNA, 560 nt
Filed under: uncultured bacterium
Lineage: Bacteria
Description: bacterial SSU rRNA
Rfam family: Bacterial small subunit ribosomal RNA
Source: RNAcentral
AGGAAUCUGCCUAUUAGUGGGGGACAACAUUCCGAAAGGAAUGCUAAUACCGCAUACGUCCUACGGGAGAAAGCAGGGGAUCUUCGGACCUUGCGCUAAUAGAUGAGCCUAAGUCGGAUUAGCUAGUUGGUGGGGUAAAGGCCUACCAAGGCGACGAUCUGUAGCGGGUCUGAGAGGAUGAUCCGCCACACUGGGACUGAGACACGGCCCAGACUCCUACGGGAGGCAGCAGUGGGGAAUAUUGGACAAUGGGGGGAACCCUGAUCCAGCCAUGCCGCGUGUGUGAAGAAGGCCUUAUGGUUGUAAAGCACUUUAAGCGAGGAGGAGGCUACUGAGACUAAUACUCUUGGAUAGUGGACGUUACUCGCAGAAUAAGCACCGGCUAACUCUGUGCCAGCAGCCGCGGUAAUACAGAGGGUGCGAGCGUUAAUCGGAUUUACUGGGCGUAAAGCGUGCGUAGGCGGCUUUUUAAGUCGGAUGUGAAAUCCCCGAGCUUAACUUGGGAAUUGCAUUCGAUACUGGGAAGCUAGAGUAUGGGAGAGGAUGGUAGAAUUCCAGGU